Molecule: ribosomal RNA, 379 nt
Filed under: uncultured eukaryote
Lineage: Eukaryota
Description: partial 18S ribosomal RNA
Rfam family: Eukaryotic small subunit ribosomal RNA
Source: RNAcentral
CAAUAGCGUAUAUUAAAGUUGUUGCGGUUAAAAAGCUCGUAGUUGGAUUUCUGUUGGGAACGACCGGUCCGCCCAUUGGGUGUGUAUCUGGCUUGUUCUCGGCAUCUUCUUGGUGAACGUUGCUGCACUUGACUGUGUGGAGCGCUACCCAGGACUUUUACUUUGAGGAAAUUAGAGUGUUUCAAGCAGGCAUAUGCCUUGAAUACAUUAGCAUGGAAUAAUAAGAUAGGACCUCGGUUCUAUUUUGUUGGUUUCUAGAGCUGAGGUAAUGAUUAAUAGGGAUAGUUGGGGCAUUCGUAUUUAACUGUCAGAGGUGAAAUUCUUGGGUUUGUUAAAGACGGACUACUGCGAAAGCAUUUGCCAAGGAUGUUUUCAUUGA